UAGAAUGUAGUAUAAUGGAAGUACGCGGAAUUUUGAAUUCCUUGGGGCGGGUUCAAUUCCUGCUGUUCUAA
Molecule: transfer RNA, 71 nt
Filed under: Peltocephalus dumerilianus (big-headed amazon river turtle)
Lineage: Eukaryota; Metazoa; Chordata; Testudines; Podocnemididae
Description: tRNA-Gln
Rfam family: tRNA
About the family: Transfer RNA (tRNA) molecules are approximately 80 nucleotides in length. Their secondary structure includes four short double-helical elements and three loops (D, anti-codon, and T loops). Further hydrogen bonds mediate the characteristic L-shaped molecular structure. tRNAs have two regions of fundamental functional importance: the anti-codon, which is responsible for specific mRNA codon recognition, and the 3' end, to which the tRNAs corresponding amino acid is attached (by aminoacyl-tRNA synthetases). tRNAs cope with the degeneracy of the genetic code in two manners: having more than one tRNA (with a specific anti-codon) for a particular amino acid; and 'wobble' base-pairing, i.e. permitting non-standard base-pairing at the 3rd anti-codon position.
Source: RNAcentral